CUUCAAAGAAAGCUGUUUUUGUCCUUUGAAGGUUUGGCCAGUGUUUGACCUUCUCGCUGAAUCGUCCAAUUUCUUUCAAAGGACACAAUUGGGAACCUUGAUUAUUACCAAAGCUUUGACCGGAAUGUUAUAUUUGAGAGAAACAUAAAGAUUCAGAUAUGACAAGACAGCUUUUGAGGAACAAAGAUUGGACUCUAUGAAAUAAAUCCAUUUGGAAAUAUUAGUCUGUUACCUUGUUUACAGGGUUCCCAGCAACCUUACCAGGAAUGUGAUGACCCCCAGGCAGCGAGUCUAUGCUGAUAGCCAUCAUCAAUGACAACUAAAAAAGCAAGAUCCUGUAACAUGCAGUGUCUGUGGAGGUCCAACAGGCUGACUUCUCCUUCCCAAGAUGGAAGAGGCUGCUGAUUUGCAUGCAUUCAUAUAUUCCUGUCAAUAUUCCAGAUCUAUAAACGUGUCUGUUUCUGGAGUGUCCUUUGAACUGGUUGUAAUAUCUUACUAGUUUCCUCACUG
RNAcentral lists this long non-coding RNA (510 nucleotides) under Equus caballus (horse). RNAcentral's name for it is "lncRNA (ENSECAG00000045985.1)". Lineage: Eukaryota; Metazoa; Chordata; Mammalia; Perissodactyla; Equidae. The record is from RNAcentral.